CCUACGGGAGGCUGCAGUGAGGAAUAUUGGUCAAUGGACGAGAGUCUGAACCAGCCAAGUAGCGUGAAGGAUGACUGCCCGAUGGGUGGUAAACUUCUGUUAUAGGGGAAUAAAAUGUUCCACGUGUGGGAUUUUGUAUGGACCAUAUGAAUAAGGAUCGGCUAACUCCGUGCCAGCAGCCGAGGUAAUACGGAGGAUCCGAGCGUUAUCCGGAUUUAGUGGGGUUAAAGGGAGCGUAGGUGGAUUGUUAAGUCAGUUGUGAAAGUUUGCGGCUCAACCGUAAAAUUGCAGUUGAAACUGGCAGUCUUGAGUCCAGUAGCGGUGGGCGGAAUUCGUUGUGUAGCGGU
This 347-nucleotide ribosomal RNA is filed under the name uncultured bacterium. Its description in RNAcentral is "partial 16S ribosomal RNA". It matches the Rfam family "Bacterial small subunit ribosomal RNA", at positions 338 to 682 of the family's 1533-position model. The record is from RNAcentral.